GCCUGUGUGUGAGCAAAUGGCUCUCCUGGCCUGCCUCUUCUCUCCACUCGCCGCUGAUGGAUUAACGCUCUGGACAGGUUUCAGCCCUAUUGAUCCCACCUGCCACGCUGCUCCCAUCAGGCUGCAGUGUGUUUGUUUGUGUGCGGACGGACGGACGAGACAGAAGCGGGGGACAAUGGGAGGCCUGGUCGAGGUUAUCUAGAGCGAGGCCGCAGUGCAGGACUUUGCACAGUUGCUCUGAAGAGCUGCAGGAGGGAUUACAUGACUGACGUUUUUAUGAGAUGAAGCUAACCACAACUGCUGAGGCGAGACAGCAAACCUGCAAUCAGGAAAAUAGCAAGACACAAUGUAUUGAAAUAGUAUUAUAAUCAGAAGAUAAAGACUGAGCGUUGUGCUUCCCUCGUUCCGGUGCCGCUGUGGCUCCGGGUGAUAGAGUUCUUCUGCUGCCGUCGGAAGCGCCCGUCCUCACUUCCACCCGUGUCUCAGAGCGUCCUUGGACGAGAGACGCUGCGAUCAGCGGGCGACUGAAGAAGACAAAGCUCUGCAUAGAUGCAGAAACGCUUGUAGAAUAGAAAGAAGAGCAAAGCGAUUGACGUUGUGGAGCAAAAGCCUCCAUGAAAAAGCUGCAU
Long non-coding RNA from Poeciliopsis prolifica (blackstripe livebearer), 629 nucleotides. RefSeq lists it as uncharacterized. The transcript is spliced from 3 exons. Lineage: Eukaryota; Metazoa; Chordata; Actinopteri; Cyprinodontiformes; Poeciliidae. The record is from RefSeq and is a predicted model, not a curated record.